RNAcentral lists this ribosomal RNA (584 nucleotides) under Pseudomonas syringae pv. syringae. RNAcentral's name for it is "bacterial SSU rRNA". It matches the Rfam family "Bacterial small subunit ribosomal RNA", at positions 76 to 655 of the family's 1533-position model. The record is from RNAcentral. Lineage: Bacteria; Pseudomonadati; Pseudomonadota; Gammaproteobacteria; Pseudomonadales; Pseudomonadaceae.
GUACUUGUACCUGGUGGCGAGCGGCGGACGGGUGAUUAAUGCCUAGGAAUCUGCCUGGUAGUGGGGGAUAACGCUCGGAAACGGACGCUAAUACCGCAUACGUCCUACGGGAGAAAGCAGGGGACCUUCGGGCCUUGCGCUAUCAGAUGAGCCUAGGUCGGAUUAGCUAGUUGGUGAGGUAAUGGCUCACCAAGGCGACGAUCCGUAACUGGUCUGAGAGGAUGAUCACUCACACUGGAACUGAGACACGGUCCAGACUCCUACGGGAGGCAGCAGUGGGGAAUAUUGGACAAUGGGCGAAAGCCUGAUCCAGCCAUGCCGCGUGUGUGAAGAAGGUCUUCGGAUUGUAAAGCACUUUAAGUUGGGAGGAAGGGCAGUUACCUAAUACGUGAUUGUUUUGACGUUACCGACAGAAUAAGCACCGGCUAACUCUGUGCCAGCAGCCGCGGUAAUACAGAGGGUGCAAGCGUUAAUCGGAAUUACUGGGCGUAAAGCGCGCGUAGGUGGUUUGUUAAGUUGAAUGUGAAAUCCCCGGGCUCAACCUGGGAACUGCAUCCAAAACUGGCAAGCUAGAGUAUGGUAGA